CCCUCAGGACCCUGGGAUUCAUGUCAUCAGGGUCAGUGUCUACCAUGAUCCCCAAUACCUUUUCUGCAAAGAUCUCCUCCAGCCAUCUGGCUUCCUGCAUCUACUAGUACACGAGAUUUCUCCUCUCCAGGUGCAGCAUCAGCGCCUGGCAUGAUGCAUCCCACUCGAUAAGAGAAAGAUGGACGGGCUUUUUAAAGGCAAGGAUGGGGUGUGCAGGAGACAGCUGAAGAGGAAAGAAGAAUGGAAGCACCAAACCAACCUUUGUGAAGUGGAAUGAAAAAUAAGCAAUUAUUAUUAUUUUUUUUCCUUCGGCCAAGAUGGGGUUGAUGGAGAAAAUGCAAAUGAAUUUAACCAUUCAUGCAUCUCUUCUCAUUAAUUAAUCCCUUAUGGAAUGCAUACUUUUCCAGACACAACAGUACUAUCUGUCUGUAUUGCUGUACUGAAUACCUGUGAAAAAUGAGACAUGACAGCCCAUUAGAAAGACGAUUCCCAUUCUCCCAGAGUUGUAUCAUACUAUUCAUAGAGUUGUAAGCUACCAACAUCAUCGGCUUUACACUUUACCUUUUGUGUUACAGGAAUUUAUCUCUAGGCAAAAAAAUGCUUCUGAUUUUAUAGGUGAAGGAUAGGAUACGAUGCUAUUUAAAGCUUUCCAGAGCUUGUGCAUGUGCCCCUUGUAUGUUAAAAUUUAUACAGAAACAACAAAGCUGUGGAAAUUUUUCACAUUUAAUAGUUCUGUAUCUCUAGCAUAAAAAGUAGUCUUGUCAAAUAAGACCAAUAUUGGAGGCUUUAGACCCCUGUAAAUCAGAGGCAGCUGUGUUAACAGUCAAGAAAAAUUCAGUCUGAUAGCUACAGCCCUGUCCAAUGCUUUCUAGUAGAAGAAAUACUUAGAGGAAAAGUAAGGUAUU
Molecule: long non-coding RNA, 905 nt
Organism: Oxyura jamaicensis (ruddy duck)
Lineage: Eukaryota; Metazoa; Chordata; Aves; Anseriformes; Anatidae
Exons: 3
Source: RefSeq, a predicted model, not a curated record